Gordionus sp. m RMFG-2023 is the source of this 383-nucleotide long non-coding RNA. RefSeq lists it as uncharacterized. Lineage: Eukaryota; Metazoa; Nematomorpha; Gordioida; Chordodea; Parachordodidae. The transcript has 3 exons. The record is from RefSeq and is a predicted model, not a curated record.
GCCGCUGUUUGAAGUUGGAGGUUCAAAAAUAUUUUGGUUAUAAUAUAUUCAAACUCUUUCUAAAGAAUUUUGGAAAAAUUUGAGUGGGUCCAGAUAUCACUUUCACCAGCAAUACUCAAGGGAAUUACAUCGUCGCUUCCACUAUUCAAAAUAGCAUAACCUGUGGCACAUAACCAGUACAAGUAUCUGCGUUAAUGCCCAACUCUGCAUUCAACAACCAAGUUAUUUGAAAACAAAUUUAAUCCUUUUUUGGAUUCGAACGAUCUUAAUUUAUAUGUGCAAUCACCGACGAGACCACAGUUGAUUUCUAAACAAUAGGUAUAUAGGAAUAAACUAUAACACUUACCAAAUUGUUAUUCUACUAUAUUCUUUCAAAAGAGAUU